Molecule: long non-coding RNA, 571 nt
Filed under: Elaeis guineensis (African oil palm)
Lineage: Eukaryota; Viridiplantae; Streptophyta; Magnoliopsida; Arecales; Arecaceae
Description: long non-coding RNA (EGUI_LNC024542)
Source: RNAcentral
AGGUGUCACUAUCUCUCUAUAUAGCUAUUAUAGCAUUCUUCUUAAUCUUUUGGAGGUUCUUUUUGAGUAGGGGGUAAUUCUGCUUGUAAUGUCCUGCUUAUUGUAUUUGUAGCAUAUGAUAUUUCUUCUUCUUUUUUCUUCAUCAUCUUCUUUUUUCUUCAAAUCUUUCUUAAUGAGGAACUUCUUGAAUUUUUUUAUGAGUAACCCCAAGUCCUCAGUUUCACUUUCAUUUUCUUCUUCUUCUUCAUCCUUCAACCCAUCACUUUUUUCUAAUUUGGUGGUUGAUUUGAAUGCGAUGAUCUUUUUCUUCUUUGAUUCAUUUUCUUCCUCACUAUGGUGCAUGUUCAACUCAUGAGCGAACCAAUUAAUUUCUUUAUGGAUAGCUUGGUGAGAGCUCUCACUUCUUGUAUUAUCAUUACUUUAGCUUUUCAUGCCUUUAACAAAUACCUUAAAACCUUACAAAUAAGCUCAUUAUUAGUAUAUAUUUUGCCAAGACCAUUCAAAGCAUUAAUGAUAUUAGUAAAUCUUGAGAAUAUAUCAGAAAUAGACUCAUAUUGUUCCAUGUUGAAUA